This 266-nucleotide long non-coding RNA is filed under the name Ricinus communis (castor bean). RNAcentral describes it as "long non-coding RNA (RCOM_LNC000496)". Lineage: Eukaryota; Viridiplantae; Streptophyta; Magnoliopsida; Malpighiales; Euphorbiaceae. The record is from RNAcentral.
UACCAGAGUUUUGAGAGGGCAAGAAAGAAAACUGAGGUGCAAAAUUGCAUCAUUAUAUUUCUUCCAAAAUUAUUAAUUUUCUCUUUCACCAUCGUCCAUCUAUGCUAUGCUAUGACAGACACCUCAUCCCUUUAUAAAACGUAUAGAUAUAAAGCAAGCCAAGAAAGACACCUCUCCUCUCUCUUUCUCUCUCACAUAUUCACUCUUUUCUUCAACAAAACAAUAAAAGAAAAAAAGAAAAUCAAAAUUCCCUUCAUUUUCUCUNN